Molecule: long non-coding RNA, 379 nt
Organism: Pectinophora gossypiella (pink bollworm)
Lineage: Eukaryota; Metazoa; Arthropoda; Insecta; Lepidoptera; Gelechiidae
Exons: 3
Source: RefSeq, a predicted model, not a curated record
UAAAGCCGCUCGCACUCUUUUUGUGUUAGUUAAACUUCUCGAGUGUUGACAACAUGCAGCUUACUUUUGUAUUCACUCUGUUCCUGGCCCUGCUGGGGUCUCUAAUCAUGGAGGCAAGUGCCUGCAUCUGCCCCGCGGUCUACACCCCCGUCUGCGGCACCAAUGGGGUCACCUACAGCAAUGAGUGCCAAAUGAAAUGUGCCGGAGCCAAGAUGAAACGACGUGGAAAGUGUUAAAGGCUCACUUAAACAGGACUGAACGAAGAACCCUUUACCUUGGUAUUUAUUUACUUUAUUAUUAUGUCGAAUUGGAUGAUAAGUAUUGUAUGAGAUAAAUUAUUAUUCUUGAAUAAAACUUAAUUCUUUGUUCAAUUAUAAAA